Long non-coding RNA from Mirounga angustirostris (Northern elephant seal), 4600 nucleotides. RefSeq lists it as uncharacterized. The transcript has 2 exons. The record is from RefSeq and is a predicted model, not a curated record. NCBI's taxonomy places the organism in Eukaryota, Metazoa, Chordata, Mammalia, Carnivora, Phocidae.
GGUAGCAGGCAGAGAAUUAACCUUUGCGUGCACAUAUUUGGCCCAGAUGAAAACCGGGCUGGACGGCAGCCCCCGGGGCCAGGGAUGCGGGAUCUCUUGGGAGAAACCGCGGCUCGCGUCCGAUGGACUCGCAUCUCCGCCUGACGAAGGUCAUUAAGUUAGGCAGCGCGACUGCCGACCGAGUGCCCAAGGCAUUGUGGGAGUCAUGAUUCCAAGAGGCCCGCGAUUUAAAAUUGAACUUGUCAGUUCCCGGUCACGGGAGCAUUGUGAGCGCCACAACUCAUUCAGCUGCAGUGAAAAGGCUGUUGCAUGUCGCUGUGCAGCCUCUUAUCGCCGAGGUCUGGUUUCCGCUGCCGCUGCUGCGCAGCCCCUCCCCCGCCAGCCCAGCCCCACCAGGAAGCCCGGGGCGGACUCGUCGAGCUCCCGGACGCACGCGGCGGCGAAAAAACGCUCUCCAACUUUCCGCCGCCCUCCCGCCCUCGCCCGGGCCGCGCUGGCGCCCCGCAACCGAACAAAGUCCGCAGGGGGCGGUCGUUGCCGCUCGCGGGUCGGCGCCGGGAGCACAAGGAAACCGGAGCCGGCGCUGGCGAGGUGCAUCCCCGCAGCCAGCCGGUGGUAUCUUCCAUCUUACACGUUCAACAUUGUAACAGCCGAGCUAUAGUGCGAACGGGACGCACCCCUACUACUUUCUGCUCCUUCCGACCAGCCGGGCGGACACAUAGGUUCGUUUUUUAAAGAGGCCGGCGGAUGAGGCUUUUUGCAAGGAAGCCGGCAAGGUUAGGUUGAAGGUGAGAAUCAGAGCGGCAGAAAACGGCAGGGAUCGGAUGGGGCUGCCGCCUUAAAAUGCACCACACCGUUUUGGAACCUGGAUGGCUCACAGGCGGGAAAAACAUCUGCAAGACUGCCAGUGUGUCUCUUCCUCAAGUAGCAGGGUGUCCACAGUUUUGCAGUUCUUUAGUAAAACUGACUGUCACGCAAGCACAAAAAACUCCCCCUGCAGCUUCCAGGCUAGCUUGUAAAUAAUAUUUGGAAUGUAAAAUCCCCUUUCUUCCCAACUCUGCAUUACAUGAUUUAUAGGAAGCAGAGACCCUUCUCUGAAAAUAAAAUACCAUUUUCUGAAAUACUGGAAUAUUCCAAGGCAACUAGGUCAUAUUAUUGUUGGAGCAACACAGACCACAGCCCCAAAUCAUAAUUCAUUGGGUGUUAUAAGAUGCAACUUGGCUUCACUUUGAAUGGAAAGAAUUCUGGACUAAAGUGAUGUGAUGAUGUUUUGGAGAUUUGGGGGCAGAAUUUCCUUUGAAUUUAAGGAAUUUUGAUAACUUGUUCAAUAAUGAUUCUAAUUUAAAACAUCGGUUCCAUGUUUUGGACAAAAUUUGGAAUGAAGUGGUGGAUAUGGUGCCAUGUUCCUCCUACAACUUUGUUGUGUUAAAGAGGGUGGCGCCGGCUUAAGAAGGAAAAGGGAAAACAUCGUGAAAGGUGCUAAAGUUCAGGAGUAAGAGGCAUUAAUAACAGACUUGAGUUCUGACCCUUGGCUAGAUCCACAAAACAGUUAAUAUUGUGCACUGCCGCCUUCCAUAACAAAUAAAUUAAUUAAUGGCCCUACUUCUCAGUGUUAAUCAUUGAAAAGUACCCAAGUGCACACACAGUUGAAGCAAACUAAAAAGGACACUGACGCUUUCUCAGAGAACAGGAAUGGGCGUUCUCUAUCUGCCAAUUAGUAGCUAUGAGGAAUGCCUUUUUCUUAAUUCAGCAUUCAUUUCAACAACUACAUCGAACGCCUGCUAUGCCAGAGAUACGAGAAUGGGUAACACAGCCCCUACCCUAGAGGAUAAUACUCCUGCUAGGGAGAAGACAAAUAAACCAAUUAACUCUGCCUCAGGGAUAAAUGCUAAAAUGGUGUUGGCAAGCCAAAGGGGGCCUGAGGAGGGUUAGGGAAGGCUUCCUGGAGGAGUUAUUUUCAACAGGUGCCUUGAAAAGUGUAUAGCAAUUAACAAGAUAAGAUGGAAAGGGAGUUGAGUCUGGUCAAGUGGGAGAAAAGAGCAUGGCAAAUACAACGGACCUGCCAACUUUCGUGUUAGAAGUGAGGGAAGGAUAAGUGUAGGGGAGUGGCAGGAGAUGAGCUAAAAGUAGGUCUGUUUUAAUCCAAGGAGCCUCAGCUUUAGUCUGAAAACCAUGAUGAACUGGAAGAGUUUACACAGCAAGGGGAUAGGUAGAGUUUGGACUUGUAUUUCAGAAAGAUCCUGUGGCAGCAGCUUGAGGGUGAAUGGGAGUGUGGGGUGGUGGCCCAUAGAAGAAGGGUGAAUGGGUGUGGACAGACUGGAAAAAUGACUCAUGCAGGGAAUGAGGAAGGGAGGAACCUUGGGAAGCUCCCAAAUCCCUGGCUUAGCCUACUGGAUUGUUUGCUACUUGCCUUUUAAUGUCUUCAAUUUGCCUUUCAUUCUCCAUGACAACGGACCCUGACUUCUGAGCUGGGCCACCUAUGCGUCUGCUAGCAGGUUGGUGCCCUAGCCGGCUUCCACGCACCUCUCAGAAUGUCCAAUGAACCGCUAAGGCCUAAUCCCCGUUGUAGGAAUUUAUUUUCAAUUGUUCUCAGACCCCUGUAGACUUCCAAGUUACAACUUUGGUGUUCUUUUUUCUUGUGGGUUAGAAAGUUUGCUGUUUGGAGCAACGUGGUGAAAAGCAGGACUUUGAACCUGUGUAUGGUGCAAGAGGGGAAAUUAUUUUUCCAGUUCAGCACUGGAGGAGGGGGGAAGUUCUGGGAACAAAAGAGAAAUUGAAACUGAGACAGAUUUUCUGCUCCACCGAACAGAUUACAAAGAAAUACAAGAAAGACCCUUGAAUGUUGGAAACAGUAAAAUAAACAUCCUCGUAAAUGACAAAGAAGAGAAAAAAAAUGUUAUUUUAUGUUAGAUAAAAGAAAAAGGGAUGCUUAAGAAAAACUCCUAUAAAAUAAUGGUCAAUCUAGGAUUCAAAAAUGAAUCAAAAUGAAUUGUGAUAUAAAACUAGUUUGCCACGGAUUUAGCUUAAUUUAUUAUUAUUGAUAAUACUAUAACAUGAGUAAUGACGCUGAAAAUUUUGAAGCAUUGUAACAAACACCAGAUCAUAUGUUAAAAAUAUUAAACCAGAUUGCCAGCUUUCAGCUACCAGUAGCAUUCUGACUGCGUUUUAAAUUAUGGAAAUUAUUAAAAAAAUCAUUAGUAAUAAAAAGUAAAUAGUUUCCCAUUUAGAAUACCACUGAUAUUCCCUCAGUGCCAGGAAAGCAUGAGCAGUAUGGUUUCUUUUGCUUCUGUGAAGUGUACUUAGAGUUCAUGGGCUCAUGAGUGAGUAGAUCCAUAAGUACAAAAAGAAGGUCAUUUGUGGGUGGAGAGGGAAAUUAGAGAAAACAAUUUCAGAUGAAAUAAAAACACAUUUUCAGAUAAAGGAAAGAAUGUUCACUGCAGGUUCCUGAAAUAUUUCAGACCAUUCAAGUUUUAAUUAUACCAAUGAAUCCCAAUAGAAAUGCAGUUAAGGAGUAUGGUUUUUAGAGAUAAUAUCAACUAGCUGGUUUACCAGUAAUACAGAUAAAGGAAAUGGUAGCAUUUAUCUUUUUCACCCAACUGGGAGUCUUUAAGGCACCUGUGUGAGUGUGUGAGUGUGUGUAUGAAUUGUUAUCUUCCUUGUCCUACAAACCGCAUUUAUAGCUCAGUAAGUUCUCACUGCCUCCCAGAUGUAAUUUGGCUUUCCUGGCAAAACAAACAAACAAACAAACAAAAAACUCAGUGAAAACAUCCCAAGAAGGUAUGCUUUUUAAAAGUCAAAAUAUGAAAAGGUCUGGAAUCACUGAUCUAGGAAUGUUGUUUUUAUUAUACCAGGAUAAAAAUAAUCCAUUGCAGGAGAGUGCCAAAACAGACCCAGAUGUAGAUCUUUUGCUUUCUAGUCCAUGUUUAAAUACAUAUGGUUGAGAGAAGAAGCUUCUGGAAGGCAGGGAAGAGUUGGAAACGUUUUGGUAUGGAGAAUCCAUUUUAAGCAGAUACAUUAAAUGUGUCUCUAUUAACUUUCACAGUGGAGGAGGGAGGCACUCUUCUAUAGCCUGGAUUCAAACUUGUUUAGGUAUCUGAAUAAAUAUACUGAUAGAGUCAGAUGAUUUUAGUUUACCUUCAAGGACCUUAUAUAUUUCACACACCAAGUUUUUAAAAUCAUAGCCAGUAUUUAAAUAUAAAUAACUUAUAUUCUAUUAUGUAUUGUGUAUUAUGUAUAUAUAAUAUGCUAUAUAAUACAACACAUUGUAUGUAUAAUUUUUGUGCCACUUAAUGUAUAAACCGCUUAAGUGUGAAAAUAUUAUGUAAAAUCAACAUAUUUGUCUUAAGAUGUUUAUAAAGAUUAAAACUGAGUUACAAAUAUUUGGACAUAUCUCAAGCUAUUUUAACUAAAGCUUGAAUCUAAAUCAAUAUAAUUAUUUUGACAUCUGGCAAUAGGGCAAUAUAAAACAUACAUUUCAGAAUUAAAAGUUUAGAACCACAGAAUUUUAGUUGGGAAUGGAGUGUUGGAGACUAUCUGGCCCUGUUCCUUUGUUAGACCAGAAAACAUUGUAUAAGUAAAUUGGCACCGUGACAGAACAGAA